GGGAUGGUGGCUCAGACGGUAAAGCAUCUGUCUGCAAUGCAGGAGACCUGGGUUCUAUCCCU
RNAcentral lists this transfer RNA (62 nucleotides) under Ovis aries (sheep). It matches the Rfam family "tRNA", at positions 1 to 61 of the family's 71-position model. From Rfam's summary of the family: Transfer RNA (tRNA) molecules are approximately 80 nucleotides in length. Lineage: Eukaryota; Metazoa; Chordata; Mammalia; Artiodactyla; Bovidae. The record is from Rfam by way of RNAcentral.